Molecule: ribosomal RNA, 643 nt
Filed under: uncultured Actinomycetes bacterium
Lineage: Bacteria; Bacillati; Actinomycetota; Actinomycetes
Description: bacterial SSU rRNA
Rfam family: Bacterial small subunit ribosomal RNA
Source: RNAcentral
CGCGGCCUAUCAGCUUGUUGGUGAGGUAACGGCUCACCAAGGCGACGACGGGUAACCGGCCUGAGAGGGUGACCGGUCACACUGGGACUGAGACACGGCCCAGACUCCUACGGGAGGCAGCAGUGGGGAAUAUUGCACAAUGGGCGCAAGCCUGAUGCAGCAACGCCGCGUGAGGGAUGACGGCCUUCGGGUUGUAAACCUCUUUUAGCAGGGAAGAAGCGAAAGUGACGGUACCUGCAGAAAAAGCACCGGCUAACUACGUGCCAGCAGCCGCGGUAAUACGUAGGGUGCAAGCGUUGUCCGGAAUUAUUAGGCGUAAAGAGCUCGUAGGCGGUUUGUCACGUCUGCUGUGAAAAUCCAAGGCUCAACCUUGGACUUGCAGUGGGUACGGGCAGGCUAGAGUGCGGUAGGGGAGAUGGGAAUUCCUGGUGUAGCGGUGGAAUGCGCAGAUAUCAGGAGGAACACCAAUGGCGAAGGCACAUCUCUGGGCCGUAACUGACGCUGAGGAGCGAAAGCGUGGGGAGCGAACAGGAUUAGAUACCCUGGUAGUCCACGCCGUAAACGGUGGGUGCUAGCUGUGGGCCACAUUCCACGUGGUCCGUGACGAAGUUAACACAUUAAGCACCCCGCCUGGGGAGUACGG